GACGAACGCUGGCGGCGUGCUUAACACAUGCAAGUCGAACGGUGAAGCGCCUUCCUUUUUGGUGGGUGUGGAUGAGUGGCGAACGGGUGAGUAACACGUGAGUAACCUGCCCCCCUCUUCUGGAUAACCGCAUGAAAGUGUGGCUAAAACGGGAUAUUCUGGGUCUGUCGCAUGAUGGGUCUGGGAAAGAUAUUGUUUCGGUGGGGGAUGGGCUCGCGGCCUAUCAGCUUGUUGGUGGGGUGAUGGCCUACCAAGGCGGUGACGGGUAGCCGGCCUGAGAGGGUGGACGGUCACACUGGGACUGAGACACGGCCCAGACUCCUACGGGAGGCAGCAGUGGGGAAUAUUGCACAAUGGGCGCAAGCCUGAUGCAGCGACGCCGCGUGAGGGAUGGAGGCCUUCGGGUUGUGAACCUCUUUCGCCAGUGAAGCAGGCCUGCCUCGUUUGUGGGUGGGUUGACGGUAGCUGGAUAAGAAGCGCCGGCUAACUACGUG
RNAcentral lists this ribosomal RNA (494 nucleotides) under uncultured bacterium. RNAcentral's name for it is "partial 16S ribosomal RNA". It matches the Rfam family "Bacterial small subunit ribosomal RNA", at positions 28 to 507 of the family's 1533-position model. The record is from RNAcentral.